This 292-nucleotide ribosomal RNA is filed under the name uncultured bacterium. RNAcentral describes it as "partial 16S ribosomal RNA". It matches the Rfam family "Bacterial small subunit ribosomal RNA", at positions 505 to 796 of the family's 1533-position model. The record is from RNAcentral.
GUGCCAGCAGCCGCGGUAAUACGUAGGGGGCGAGCGUUGUCCGGAUUCAUUGGGCGUAAAGCGCUCGCAGGCGGUCGGCCGCGUCUUGCGUGAAGGCCCUCGGCUCAACCGAGGGUGGUCGUAGGAAACGGGUCGGCUGGAGGUAGGUAGGGGGACGCGGAAUUCCCGGUGUAGUGGUGGAAUGCGUAGAGAUCGGGAGGAACACCGGCGGCGAAGGCGGCGUCCUGGACCUGGCCUGACGCUCAGGAGCGAAAGCGUGGGGAGCGAUCCGGAUUAGAAACCCGCGUAGUCC